UACGGAGGGUGCGAGUGUUAAUCGGAAUAACUGGGCGUAAAGGGCACGCAGGCGGUGACUUAAGUGAGGUGUGAAAGCCCCGGGCUUAACCUGGGAAUUGCAUUUCAUACUGGGUCGCUAGAGUACUUUAGGGAGGGGUAGAAUUCCACGUGUAGCGGUGAAAUGCGUAGAGAUGUGGAGGAAUACCGAAGGCGAAGGCAGCCCCUUGGGAAUGUACUGACGCUCAUGUGCGAAAGCGUGGGGAGCAAACAGGAUUAGAAACCCUGGUAGU
This 271-nucleotide ribosomal RNA is filed under the name uncultured bacterium. RNAcentral's name for it is "partial 16S ribosomal RNA". It matches the Rfam family "Bacterial small subunit ribosomal RNA", at positions 524 to 794 of the family's 1533-position model. The record is from RNAcentral.